AAAUUAAAAAAAAAAAAAUUCAUAUCACAAUGAUGCUCUUUUCUUUUAAUCUUUUUCAAACACCAAUUAAUAAUGAUCCACAUCCUAUUAUUAGCACCCUUCGCGGAUUUACAUGGGGGGCAGUUGGGGCAAUUGCCCCCACUGUCCAUAUAAAAAUUUUGAUGUACAAUCUAUAUUUCUAUGAAAUUGUCUCCACUAAAUUUUAAGCAUGUCUCAUUUAAAUUAAAUCAUUAUAAUUUUUUAGUACAUAAAUAUAUAUGCAUGUGUAUUGCCCCCCUUAAUUUUAAAUAUGCCUCCAUGUAAAUCAAAUAAUUACAAUUACUGCAAAUUAGAAAGGACAUAAAUAAAGGAAGGCUCGUAUCCAUAAAAGAAAGGGAUAUUCAUCACCCAUGACCUUGAGUCCACAGCAUAUCACUCACAUAUAUAUAAAAGAAAAGACGCUGACACAUAUUGCAUAUAUAACCUAUGCCAAGUCAUACGGUAACCAUAACGAGAUAAAAAGUAAAUAAAUCUUCUUGCUCCAGUAAUAAGCUGCCAUCAGAUUCAAUGAUGAGCUGAAUUGAUUUUGAAACCAGAAAAGGUCUUCCAGGCAGAUUCAAAAAUAGGUCUUCGUCAGCACAAAAGGCAAGAUUCUUAGUACUUUAGUAAUUGAAAAUAAUGUAACCAAUCAAGCAUAUUUGUAGAACAGAAUACCAUAAAACAAAAUGUCACCUUAUGUUCACUACUUUUCACA
RNAcentral lists this unclassified non-coding RNA (733 nucleotides) under Hevea brasiliensis (rubber tree). Lineage: Eukaryota; Viridiplantae; Streptophyta; Magnoliopsida; Malpighiales; Euphorbiaceae. The record is from RNAcentral.